Molecule: ribosomal RNA, 417 nt
Filed under: uncultured Methanosaeta sp.
Lineage: Archaea; Methanobacteriati; Methanobacteriota; Methanomicrobia; Methanotrichales; Methanotrichaceae
Description: bacterial SSU rRNA
Rfam family: Archaeal small subunit ribosomal RNA
Source: RNAcentral
GUGCAGCAGGCGCGAAAACUUUACAAUGCGGGCAACCGCGAUAAGGGGACCUCGAGUGCUGGGUUACAAACCUGGCUGUUGGGCUGCCUAAAAAGCAGUCUAUAGCAAGGGCCGGGCAAGACCGGUGCCAGCCGCCGCGGUAACACCGGCGGCUCGAGUGGUAACCGCUGUUAUUGGGUCUAAAGGGUCUGUAGCCUGCCGGCUAAGUCUCUUGGGAAAUCUGGCAUCUCAAGUGUCAGGCUGCCAGGGGAUACUGGUCAGCUUGGGACCGGGAGAGGUGAGAGGUACCUCGGGGGUAGGGGUGAAAUCUUGUAAUCCUCGAGGGACCACCAGUGGCGAAGGCGUCUCACCAGAACGGAUCCGACGGCAAGGGACGAAAGCUAGGGGCACGAACCGGAUUAGAUACCCAUGUAGUCC